AUCAGGGCUGUGCCCACUGGGGGCUCAUGGGGGAUUAUAAAUUAACCCUUGUGUUAGCAGUUUGCUCUAGGCUUGUUCUGUGAGGAGGUGAUUGCUGCAGUGCUGGGAGCCUCAAGCUGUUGCUUCCAGGGACUUGAGGCUCCAGCAGCACUCUGCAACCCUGUCAGCCAUCCAGCAGAAUUCAGCAAGCUGCCCGAUGUCUCUAUCUGUGCUGCAGUGUAUUUUGAAUGGAUCUCAACACAGCAAAUCUUUUAUGAAAGGACUUUGUGAUGAUGUGAGUCAGUGCCACGUGAGAGGAAGGGGACAGCCUGUGCUCUGAUGCUCUAAGAGGAAUCUUCGAGCUCUUAUGAAAACAGAGGAGAACACAUCUGCCCUUCAGCCCCGACUCACCCAAACCCUGUGUGAACCAUCUGGAUGUCAUGUCCCCAGCCACUUGGAGACCACAACAUACUCACCCCAAUCUCUCACACCCCCCAGUACGAGCCUCUCCUAAUCAGUAGGCGCUGUCUCACCAGAGCCCCUUUCUGCAGAGAAGUGAUAAGCCGUGCUUGGCUCCUGCUCCCCCACCCCUGCUGGUUCCUGUUUGCUGCCAUCUCAUCAGCAGGCACCAAAAAGCCCCACUUCCAUCCCUGCUGGGCUGCCCUCCCUGCCCUGCUCCGAAAUGCUGCCCGAAUGUCAUGGAAACAGUGCAUAGAGCUGCCAUGCACAGGAAGGGAGAGGGGAGCAAGGUAA
RNAcentral lists this long non-coding RNA (732 nucleotides) under Numida meleagris (helmeted guineafowl). RNAcentral describes it as "lncRNA (ENSNMEG00000018076.1)". Lineage: Eukaryota; Metazoa; Chordata; Aves; Galliformes; Numididae. The record is from RNAcentral.